UAAUACGGGGGGUGCAAGCGUUGUUCGGAUUUACUGGGCGUAAAGGGCGCGUAGGCGGGCCUCCAAGUCGGAUGUGAAAACUGGCAGCUUAACUGCCAGCCUGCACUCGAUACUAGGGGUCUUGAGUACGGAAGAGGAAAGCGGAAUUCCAGGUGUAGCGGUGAAAUGCGUAGAUAUCUGGAAGAACACCAGCAGCGAAGGCGGCUUUCUGGUCCGAUACUGACGCUGGAGCGCGAAGGCUAGGGUAGCAAACAGGAUUAGAUACCCUGGUAGUCCUAGCGGUAAACGAUGGGUACUAGGUGUCGGGGGUAUCGACCCCCUCGGUGCCGCAGCUAACGCAUUAAGUACCCCGCCUGGGGAGUACGGUCGCAAGAUUG
RNAcentral lists this ribosomal RNA (377 nucleotides) under uncultured bacterium. RNAcentral describes it as "bacterial SSU rRNA". It matches the Rfam family "Bacterial small subunit ribosomal RNA", at positions 521 to 896 of the family's 1533-position model. The record is from RNAcentral.